RNAcentral lists this long non-coding RNA (2343 nucleotides) under Daphnia pulex (common water flea). RNAcentral's name for it is "uncharacterized LOC124197128". The record is from RNAcentral. Lineage: Eukaryota; Metazoa; Arthropoda; Branchiopoda; Diplostraca; Daphniidae.
UUCUAAGUGUCUAAUCAUCCCUUUUUUUUAUGUACUCUAGAUGGAACCCAGGACCAAGGAGGAUCGCCCCCGCCACUACAAGAUCGUCCCCGCCGCAGCAAAGGACUUCGAAGAUCUUUAAAUGUAUGGUUUCUUACAACAACAACUGGGAAGAGUAAUGCAGCAAGAAAGUAAAAAGUGAUAAAAUUGCAGUUUGAAUCUGGUUCAGACAUGGACACAUGAAGAUCCUCAAGUUUAAAUUUAACUAGAAAGAGCUUGUGGGAUACAGGCUAAAGAUGAAAUACAAGAUUGGUGUUGACCAAAGCAAUCAGCAGUAUAUAAUGUGAUUCAAGAGAAUUGAUCGUAACAUGGUGUAUCCAAACCAACCAAAGUUGUAACUAGACAGCUUUAGACAAGUUCGUCUUCAUUGAAAGUCAAAUCAAGCUUCCACAAAUUGCAGCUCAUGGACAUUGUGUUGACUCCACCCAAGUUGUAAAACCAGAAAAAGAAUUUCUCAUUCUCAUGCAGUGGCAAUAGUUGAAGAAAAGUUGUCCGAAGAUCUAAAUGACACAGAAUUUUACACUUGCAAUUUCAAGCAACUGUUGGGCUUCGGUAACCAAGUUUGAAAGGGAUUUCAAUAGAUUUGAAUAAAGAAAAUUCAAAACGUUUGAGAAAGAGCUGAAACACGAAAAAUCCAAUCAUUACUGGAGUAGAGAUCUCAUUGCUUGGUGCCUACCGUGACUUAUUGGUCUAGCUCUACGACGGUAGAAGAAAAAUGCUGCUGGUGUAGGACGUUGAUAGUGUUGCACUCAUCCCCUGACGGCAGAAGAACAAGAGAUCCAGGUCCUCUAUUUAUUGGCAUCACGCAUCACCCCAUUGAUUUCACGUGACACGAAUCGACACAAAUUGCUGGAUUAGAUUGACGACUCAUUUAAAAAAAAAAUGGACGACAACGCAAACGGACCUCAGGCGAGAGACGAUUUUGAAAAUGGUUUAUCCCGACUGCUAAUUCAGACGAAUCUUGAUUUCGAAUUUGAUAACAUUGCUGGACCGUCAAAAGCCUUCCAUUAAUCCCUGCUGAAAGAUGAAACUUUCUUCUGGACCUACGUUAGAAGAAUCUUUGCAGAUCGAUUGCCCUUACCAUGUUAUAGGAUACCAAAGCCAUUCACUAGAACUCACCCGAAAAAAACUGGUCGACUUUGACGAGUCUUUCGCGAAAAUCGAUAGUUUGGCAGCCAUCGUCGCUUCCGCCCGAAUUACAAGAAGUCAUCCUUUUCGAUUUUCUUGAACUACAGGAGAAAAACUGAAGUUUGUCCGAUCGCGUAUCAUAAGCAAAGUGCGAAAUUAUUCACACUCACAUUUCCUAAUCUGAAAUUAAAAACAGAACAAAGCAUUAAUCAGUUUAUCUCUCUUCAUUCCGAUUCCCUCACUACGCUUCUACUCAACUGUCAACACCUUUCAUUCGCAUAGUUGACCAUUUGAAUCUUGAUAUAAUAGUGGUCGCUUCCGUGCCGCUGUUACACACCUGCAGUCACUCACCACGGACUAUGCCCAGGUGGCUAAAAUCAAGUUGUCCCCCAGCCGCCAGAUGACGCAAGUGUCUUUGAGAGGACGAAAUUUGCUCCAUUUUGUUCCGAAACGCCAUACGCCAAGUGAAAAGGUAUUCCAAAUACGUUACGGAAUUGCGGUGUCGAUCUACAUUUUCAGCAUUGAAAUUUAAUUGGCAAUCUGGCAUAUAAUUUCCACUUGGCCGAAUAAUCGGUCACGUGGACUGAAACUGCUUUCCAUUUUGCCGAAAUGUCGUCCGUUGUUAGCUGUAACUGUUCGGAUGUACGUCUCAUCUCACGCAGAAACACUACAGAGUUGGUGUUCAGGUUGGAGAUCCUGUUGCUUAGCUGUUGCAGAAUGUGAGAACUCGAAAAUUCUAAGCUCAAUGGCUGGCAUCAUGGCCACACUCCACAGUGGUGUUGUUGCAGCCAGCUGGUGAAAGGCGAGAUUGAGUCAAGUUGAGCUGCAGCUGCUGCAUGCAGUUUAUCGAGCUGGUGUUAUCCUGAAGUGUCAUUGCAGGAAGACUUUUUGAAAUGGACUUGGUGUAACUUAAACUAUUCCUGUUCUGUUCAAUGUGCAGUGGUUUUGCAGCCUGUUUCCAGUUGAGAGAGGUGAUUAUGAAGCUGAUACAGGAUUGAAGAAAAAGAACUUAAGUAGCUGUGCUGGUGUUCUCCUGAAAUUGCUGUGCCACAGGAGUUGCAGAUAGUGUUUGGUUCCUCAUAGAAGUUUACUUAAAGAGUCUGGAGAUCAGCCACUUCUGCCUAUAACUUGUGUAAAACUUCAAAGUUGUAAAAAAUAUACAAGUCGUGAACUAAA